GAAAAUAUUUGGAUAUGGAAAAGCGGCUAAUUUAAAGGAUGAUGGAAUGGAGGUUAUGAGAUGAUAGAGAUCCUGAAAAUCAAAGGAAUGGAAUGGGCUAUCUUGAUCUUCAUUUGAAUCUUACAGUUGUAUUUUUAUUAUUUUAUGAUGGAAUAAUAAUUUUCAAAGUCGAAUGGAGGAUUUCCAUUCUCAACUAUAGAAAUCUACUUGAGGAUGGAUGGAUAAAGGAUUAUUCGAGUGAUAACAAGUUGAGAUUGAAGGAGUUGCUGAAAAGAAGUGGAAGCACUAACCCCUUCAAUCAUGUCCUCACAUUAUGUGACAUCUUGUAAGCAUAUUCACAACUCACAUUCACUUUUCAUCUUGUAAGCAUAUGUUUGAUAAGUGUACGCAAUUUUAAAAAAUAAUUUGUAAACUAUUGUAGUGAAGAAAAUAUUUCUGAAUCUUUAAUAGUUUUUGCUGAUUAGGAAAAAGAGUUUAUCAUAUUAUUUGAUUCGAAACAAAAAUCGGCUCUUAUAAAGACGAUUUCUAAAAAUUCAUAUAUUUAGGCAAAAAUCAUCUUUUAAAGAGACCAUUUUUAAAUGUUCUUUAAAAAAAUCAAAGCAGAAAUCAUUUCUUCAAGAAAAGAUUUCUUUUUAUUUUAAAAAAGAAAUUAUAUGCAAAAUUUAUCUCUAAAGAAAUGAUUUCAAAAAAUUAAUUUUAAAGAAAAAAAUAUUUUUAUGCUACAUGUUUUCUUAUUUUUAAUAAUAUUUAAACUAAUAAUAUAUUUCAAUAAUAAAAUUAUUAUUAAUAUAUGUAUUGUAAAAUUAAGUAAUUUUAUUUAUUAAAUUCAAUACAUAAAAAUAAUUAUAAUUAUUAUUGAUAUAUUACUCAUAAUUAUAAUAUUUAUAAAAAUAUAAAUUAUAUUUAUCAUCUUAUAUUCAUUAAAAUAAUAUUUUGACCAUUAUCUUGAAUUUUAUCAUCCAAUUAAUUAAUUAAUUAUUAUUAAAAUAUAAAUUAAUUUAAUUUUAUACUCAUAAUUUUAUCCUUUUUUCUUUCUACUACAAAUACCGGUUUAGGUUUAUUCAAUUCUCUUGACCUCGGUCUCAAUUAUCAUUCUUCAUCUCAUUCAAUUUUGGUUGGAUCUCUACGAGACCAUCUGACCCAACUUCUUCUUCUUCUUCUUCUUUUAUUUUUUAUUUUUAUUUUUAUUUUUAUUUUUUAUCAUCCCUAAUAUCUCUAAACUUCUAGAUAUCGAGCAUGAGGGUCAUUAGUUGGUAAGAAUGGAACCCCUUACCAUCAUGCUAAAACUUGUAAUACUUUAGGUUUAAUUUAAAUAUAAGCAAUUAAUUUGUUACUUAUGUUGGUCAUAUUUUAGGUUUUGAAAUUUACAUAUAUCUAUCUUCAUUUUAGGUUUUUCUGGUUUCUGCUAUUGUACACAAGCAUGAAUAUGUAUGCUAUCCUUAGUCACUAUAGUGUUUAUGACUUGUUCUAUUAUACUCCUCAAGCUGUUGUUGUAGAGGGGCCAGCUGCCUUCUCUUCUGCUUUGACACAGCAAUUUGAUUAGGCCCAAAUGCCAUAACCACCCCUUGAUUGUUACCAAGGAGUGAAAUACAUGUCAUCCUAAAUUCCAUACAUUUUCUAAAAUGGACCUAUAUUCAGCAGCUGUACAUUGGAAUGCAUGUUAUCAGCAUGCUUUCACCAUUUUCAUUUCUUAUAUUCUCAAAAACUCAUAAAAGAAUUUUCAUGUCCCCUACCAAACAGACCCUCAAAUUAAUUUAGCACUUGAUAUCAUUUCUCAAAUAUUUACUUAUAAGACUCAAAGCAUCAAAUAUGCAUAGGAACCAUGUACAAAAAUCCCAUCAACAUAAAAUCACAGGUCUUUGUCACAAAUUUAUGUGAUUAACACAAUCUUUUCCCUUGAGACUUACUUUACCUAAAAUCUAACAGCUUCUCUCCUAGAGCUAUUCCAACAGCUUCUGGCCAUACUGCCGGCUCUGGUUUGAUAGGAUCAUUAUUCUUGAUUAUUGUCCUUAGGCAUCACAUUCAAAAUUCAACCAUAGCAGAUGUCUCUUCUAGUUUGGCCUUUUCAAACUUGGGUGGUUUGAAAGUAUUCCCCGUAAUGAGAAGUCAAGCUUAUAAAAUCUUUUAAGACCAACACUUGUAUCAUAAAUCUUGGUUGUCUCAACACUUGUACUACGAAUAGACCCACCAAAUUGAUUUUUUAAUUUCUCCCCUUGUAAAUUAUAGUCUGCAAGAUUCUCAUUCAACUUAGUUUGGGCUAAAAACAAUUGCAGGCUAUCAAGACUAUUGUAAUAUCGUAACAUGUAGACCGAUAUUAAUAUCUAGGUUUAAAGCUUUGGUGGAUAAAUGAAGGGUAUGGACACAUGUCCUUAGAUGAGAGUUGCAAAAUACUUUGUAGUUUUUCAAACUCUCCUAUUUAAUUGAACCCUUUUAUGCUGAGUUGUACCUCACCUUUUUUAUUUAAAUUCUUAAUUUUUUUUUUUUAAUAUCAAGUUAGAGGGGAGCAAGAAAGAAGGAGUUGAGUUAUGGUGUUACAAUUAAGGGAUUUGGGAUUUGUGUGUUUGUAGUAUAGGAUUUUGUGAUAUUGGAAAGUUCUUUAAUAUUAUAAAAACAGAGAAUUACAAUUGUGUGAAAUAAUUAUUGUUUUGUUGCAUGAUUUUUAGAGCAAAAAGUUUCUAAGGCUAUAAAGGCUGUUCAUAGAGGAAAAAGAUAACUUCCAAAAGUUAAACCAAAACUGAAAAAUGUUAAGUUGAAAAUAAGGGAAGAAAAGUUAGUACGUGGUUUGUGGGGUUGAUGUCAUGCCCCAAGAUCCAUUCCAAAGGUGUCACGGUUAUUUCACACCUAAAGCCUAAAAACUCAAAGUGCAAAUGACUCAAACAAUCACUUUGUAAUUUAAGGUUAUCAAUGACCAAACUUCUGUUCAGAAUAGUAAAACAUCUUAUAAUCCUUAAAACUCCACUUUUUAAAAAAAAAAAGAAAAAGAAAAAAUUAACUAACAUACCAACCACUAUGCUAUCAUCCAAACAACUUCAAAAAUUCUUUAAAAUGUCAAACAAUAAUUAAUUUUAUCUAACAUUUAAAUAAUGUCCAAAAUAAAAGUUUAAACUAAAAAUCUUAAUAAAAACAAAUUCCUAUUCUAACUAAACACAUACAUUAAAGGAAUAUUUGAAUUGAAUUUUACCACAAACUUAUCAAAAUUUCAAAUUAUUAUUCAUGACAAAAACUAGGGUAGCUUCAAUAUAAAAAAACCACAAAUCAUAAGUUUAUUGAUGAGUCUUAACUAUCAAAAUAUAAAAGGGUUUUUUUCUUAAAUUUACUAGCAUUCUUUUUAUUUUCACUAAAAUUAGAACCUAAAAAAUUCACAAAAUAUCAUAUAAAAGUGUACUUCUACCUACUCAACUCUAUUUUUCAAACUAUCAAUCGAUAGUUUAAGAGUCAAUUUGUUUAUAUGGUGAAAAGCCCAUCUUUACUGUUUAAUUUUUCUUCGAUAACUAUCAUUGAUUGAUGCUAAUUUUCUUAUAUUCAAACCCAUUAAAUCAAAGGAAAACUCUAAAGUAUCAUGGUGGUGCCUAUCAAAUAAAAGAUUUACAUCAUUCAAUAUGAAUGAAGAACCCUAAAUUGUUGAACAAUAGUACAAAUGAAUAAAAUUUAGGUACAAAGAUACAAAUAAAUAAGAUUAAAAUAUAAAUAAUAAAACCAAAAAAUAUAUAUUUUAUAUUAUUUUAUUAAUGAUGUCUUUUCAACAAGUAUAAAAAUAGUACACGAAACCCAAUUCAAAUGUGGCCACUUUUUCUAAAAGUGGAAGAACAAUGUUUUCUUCACAACACAAUUUUCUUCCAUUGACUUGGCUCCUUGACCUUUUCUUCCAUUGACUUGACUCCUUGUCCUAGAAAGUUGACCGCAACAAAUCUUAUAGACACCAAUUUUAUGAAUAAAAUGUAAGUUUAAUCCUGUCAUUAUAUCAUCACGCUUGUAAGCUCAAUGGUUCACCCAUAUUUGUCCCAUUGAUUAUAUUUGUGUUUGUUGUACUUAUUGUUAGAAGAUUCAAAUUAAUCUUCAUGGUGUUUGAAAGUCAUUUUUAUUUUUUUUUAAAGAUUAGAAGCUUUUUUUUUCCCUUUUAAUAUUUCAAAGUUUUUUAUUUGAAAGUUGGAUUUUAGAUUAAAAAAAUUAAGAAUUUUUCUUAAUUACCAUUUGAUAAUAAUCGAAGAAUCUUAUGCACCAGCGGAAGAAGUUCAUACCUAACACAUGAGGGAGGAAGAGGUCUCGUCU
Molecule: long non-coding RNA, 4269 nt
Filed under: Vitis vinifera (wine grape)
Lineage: Eukaryota; Viridiplantae; Streptophyta; Magnoliopsida; Vitales; Vitaceae
Description: long non-coding RNA (VVIN_LNC004299)
Source: RNAcentral